UUUUUUUUUCCUUUUCCCUUUUCCUUUUAACUUUUCUCCACGCGUCUUUUCCUCGGUGUUCGUUCGUUGGAAUAAAAAAAAAAUCGCCGUGGGCCGUCCGUCGGCGUGGUGCGCGGGCCUAGCGCGUGGGGCCCGGUGGCUUGACGGGUGGGGGCGAGAGUCGUCGGCCGGCCUUCCGCGGUGGCCGGCGGCCGUGCGCCGGGGCCGGCGGGGACCCCGCGGCCCGUACGGCGGUACACGCGUCCGGCCGUGCCGUGUACCCCCUACCACAUUGUGUUUUAGUGCAGAAGAAGAAUAUACGUAUGCAUGCAGGGACCAUUUUCCACGGUGAUCCCGUCGUCUGGCCGUUACUGCCGACGGUGCACCGCAUUAUUGAUUCAGAAUAUCGUGUAGAGCGUGCCUAAAAUACAACUACUACUACAGUACCGCUAAAGUGCAUCUAGAUGUGUCAUAAGUAUCGCACGCACAUCUUCGUCACUUGGUUUCUCUUCCCAUGUCUACUGACGCUGGCCUGGUCGAAAUCGUAUGGCAAGUCAGGCAUCGCGCACAUAAGUUGUAAUUUUGCGUUAGUGCAUCCAGACCAUGCCACCUUAUCAUUUUUGGGGAAUCAGCCUGUGCAUGUCGAUCGCAAUUCAAAUUGUUUGCGUUCAUUUUCGUAAGGCCAUGAAUGGUACACGUUUCGGAUGCUUGCGGCAAAAAUAUAUAGCAUCUUUCAUAUAUUUGUUUGUUUUGUUAAAGCUGGUGUCGUGUUAAGGUUGAUUUAAACCUUUUCUUUUUUUAUACCCGCAAAAGAAAGUGUUUUCUCUUUUAACACAUUAUUAUUUUGCCACAUGCUUUGUAAGUUUAUCGUUUCUAACAUUUGCAUUUGUUUUUCAUUAGAUUUUUAUGUUUCCAAACAGCAACUUAUACAUUUGUUAUUAGUUUUUUAUGUUUCCAAACACCAACAUAUACAUCUGUUUUAACACGGUUCCUGUGGCAAUUCACAGGGCAUCGUCUAGUUUCCCAAACAAGCGAGGUUAAAAUCUUUGACCUUGUAUCAAAAACAUUGUAAAAGUGUGUGGUUCAUAUGCGCGUGAGAUACCUGUCAUCUGGAGAAAAAAACAAUUUUACAGGCAUCGCAUCGCCGACAUGUGAUUAUUGUUGUUGAUUACGACUUGCUUGAGGUGCCGGCCCAUUUUUGCACCUAAACAUUAUCACAAAUUUGUAUUUGGCGCGGGCGGAUGUGGACCAUUUUCCCAGUGAUAUGUCAGCCUCACCAUGUCACAUUAUUAUUUGGAUUAUGUCGUAGUAUUUUCCCAAAAGACAAGUGAGGUUACAUCUUAGAUCUUGUAUGUCAAAAACACUGUAAACAUGUGGUCCAUGGGCACGGCACUUUUCACCAAGAAACCUAAUUUAGUUGGCCUCACCGACAUAUAAAUACUUUUUUGAUAACGACUUUUUCUUUCUUGAUAACGACUCGUUAGAGGAGCCAAUUCAUUAUGCGGGCUUCACAUUCUGGCACUACAACUACGUAAUAUUUUUUUUCUUGAAAACAACUCAUAAGAGUAAGUUGUGAUCAUCGAUGAGUUUAUGGGCUCUCUACUCGUCAUGGUGAAUCUACUAUAUCAAAAUAGAAGCCCCCACUACGUGAUUUUCCUGCCCUCACAAUCAGCCGGUCACAAAUUAGUUCAUUCGUUUGAUUAAUCAUGGAUGGACAGAAAUUAGUUGUAAAUUUGCAUUAGUGUAUCCAUGCAUGCCUUUUUUGGGGAAAUCAGCUCACGCAUGUCGAUUGCAAAUGUUUGCGUUCAUUUUCGUAUGGUCAUGAGUGGUACAUGUUUCGGAUGCUUGCGGCAAAAUAUAUAGCGUGCUUCAUUUUUUUUGUUAAACAUGGCAUCACGUUAUAUUAGAUUUAAAUGUCUUCUCUUCUUUUCUCGGUGCACGUUGGUUCGGAUUAAAAAUCUUCGUGGCCCUUUCGUUGGUGUGGUGCGCGGGCCUGGCGCAUGGGGCCCGCUUGGCGGGAGAGAGAGUGUGGAAUCAGCCGCCCUUCCACAGUGGCGGACGGGGACACGUUGCUCGUAUGGCGAUACACGCGUCCGGCCGCUGUGGGUCCCAAAUUUGUAUUUGGUAGAGAAGAAUGGACAGGUAGUGAUCCCGUCGUCUAGCUAUUAUCAACGAUGUGCCGCAUUACCAAAUUGGAAUAUUUCUCAAACAAGUGAGGAUGAAAUCUUGGAAAUCUAAUUUUCCAGGCAUCGUCGACAAGUGAUUUUCUUUAUUGACAAUGACUUGCUAGAGGCGUCGGCUCAUUUCGUGAGCUUCGAAUUAUCACGGACUGUAAUAUUUUCCUAGUGACAUGUCAGUCUCACUAUGUCGCAUUAUUACUCGGAUUAUGUCGGAGUAUUUUUCCAAAAGGACAAGUGAGGUUACAGCGUGGGUCUUGUGUGAAAGCACCGAAAACAUGUGUUACAUGGGCAAGACACUUGUCACCAAGAACAUAAUUCAGCAUGCCUCGCCGACAUAUGAUUUAUUACCUCUGUUCAGAAAUAACUGAUGUGGUAUUAGUUAAAAUUUAAACUAAAAUUCCCUCAAACAAAUUAAACUAAAACCGCGUCAAUUAUUUUUGAAUGAGGGCAGAUAAUGACUUGUUAGAUGGGUCGAUUCAUUUUGUGGGCUUCAUGUCAUACAAGAAAGAAUCACGCGCUUUGUCGUGCCGUUCUUCAUCAUGAGUCAAAAUUUCCCCAGGAUUGGUCUCUGGUUUGUGGGCUUCUAACUCGAAAUUUUUCCUUGAGGUGGUGUCGUCCUCCGCAUUUGUUAGAGGUAGGGUUUAGACGUGAGAAAAAAGUCAUCUAUAGUAGCAAUUCUUUUUUGAGAACUUAUAGUUACAUACGACACGUGUUUUAGAGAAAAUUCACACUCGCGCUGGCCAUAGAGCCCCAGCAGCGCAAAACUUAUCACUGUCAGGCUGCGACAGGACGCUUUUAGCGUCCAAUAGCACUUCACCGCCGGGUACCUUAUAUAUUGGGAUGGCCCAUUAGCAUAGGUUGGUCAGAUGUUCUUUUUCCCUUUAUUUGUGUUAAAUUUUCUUCACUUUUAUUUGCUUUUAAGAAAUGACUACACAUUUGAAAAAUGUUCAUGUGGUUACAAACUGUGCUCAUGUAUUUAUUUAUUUUGAACAUUCACGCAUUUAAAUAUUCACAUAUUUGAUAAAAUGAAUUUUGAAACUUGAUCGUGAGAUUUAAAAAAUGCUCAUGCAUGUUUUGAUAAGAAGUGUUCGUGUAUUUCUCCAAAACAAUUGUGUCUGUGUGCCGCGCGUGUGUUGUUUAACAAUAUUUCAUAAAAGAAGAAAGAAAAAAGAAAAAGCUGAAGCAAAAAAUAAAAUGGAAUGAAGUUAAAAGAGAGAGAAUGAAUCAAGUGAUCUUAUUGAUACGAAGGGUAUAUAUCCAUAUUGAGGGGUUGCUUCAAGACAUGGCAGUACAUGUUAGGUGAGAAAGAAUGCGACUGUUUGGGUUGAACACACCCCUUUACCAAUGACGUUCGUUAAUAAUAUGUAUUCAUAAGCACAAGUUAUUUAUAUCUAACAUUUUUCUUUAUUGCAUCAGAUUUGCCUGCCUCCAUUGUUUGGGCAUUUUGCUAUUGGCUUUUUUGGCGCCCUUGUUGUUUAUCGGCUAGAUGUAUCUUUUUGGCGCCCUUGUUGUUUAUCGGCUGGACGUAUCUUUUUGGCGUCCUUGUUGUUUAUCGGCUAGACGUAUCAUUUUUUUGGGUGGAGUUACAUAGCUGGAUCUGAUGUCAAGAGGUGGUGGAAGUGCUAUACGUAGCUGGACUGCUAUCUUUGGGGAAGUGCUAGACGCAAGCCACACGAACACAAGGGCUACACACUAUGACAUGCCGACAACAUAGGCCCUCCCGCCUGCAAGACUCAUGACCCACUAGAUAGCUUUAUUUUAAGAGAGCUUAUUAUUUUUUAGAGAUGUUUCUUCUUGAAAGCACCUCAUAAGAGUAAUUGUGAUCAUCGAUGAGUUUAUGCAUUCUCUACUCUUCGUGGUGAAUUUAGUAAAUUUCAAGUUAUAUAUAUAAACAAAACUGCGAAUAUCUAGAGAAAUGUGAAGUGUGAGGUAUCUCUCUCAAUAGCGGCUUGCCAUGUACUUCCCGUGGGCAACACCCAAACGCCCAAACCUUAACCACUACUACAUCGAUCUCAUGUACUCUUGUGGUAGUUGUGGGUAGGGACGAAGCUAGAAAAAAACUUAGCAGGAUCAUGUCUAUGAUAGUGGGGUCAUCAUCUAUAAAUGAAUAAGGAUUAGUACUAAAUUAGUGAAGGAUUUGCUAAUUUGAUUGGGUCAACUGACCCCAUUGCUUACAAGGAAGCUCCGUCCAUGGUUGUGGUUUGUGGGAUGCACGAUAGACUCCAAAGGACACACAUGCAUCAUUCCUAAUUUGAAGGAUUGGCCUUGAAAAGAGUUAUCGAGGUUUUGUUCACCAUUGAAUGAGUCAGUCAAAGGCAACACGCUAAUAUGAUCUUCUUCGUGAAAAAAUUAUGAGAUUUCCAAAGAAAUAAAAGCAAGAAAUUUUAAAGAGCGUUGAUGGAGGUUGGAAGCAAUAGGAAGAAGAAUGGACCGGGAUCCAUAGGUUCACUAGUGGUUUCUCUCCAAAAGAAAUAGCAAAGUGUGAUGAACAAAUACAGCUGUGCAUCGAUUAAAUUACGGUUUUUAUGAGUAUGGUUAUACAUGGUAUAAUUGCAUAUGACCAUCACGUCCAAACAUCUAUAAACCAUCAUCCUACUACAUCUACAGCUAAUACUCCAUCCCAAGACCAUUAUCCAACAUGCAUCUCAAAGUAUUAAGUUAAAGAAAUAUAUUAUUGCAUUAAGUAUGAUGACACGAAGUGACACAUUGUCUUCACCCUGCGUUCAAAAGGACAACUACGCAAUCAUAUUUUUUAUCCGUAAUGGCAACAAUAAAAUACAAUGCAAACCUUUUCCACUUUCUAUCACUGCAAUAGAUUACUUACAAGAUUGAACCCAACUAACAUACACAACUUCCUUUUGCAGAUCAUCCAUCAAACUUGGCCAAAGAAAUAUAAAUAGAUCGGUGAGCAUAUGUGAGUAAGAAUUUUGCAACAAAGAAACCAAAUUGAUCUCAAAAGAAUUAAUGGAUAGAUCUGGUCAUACAGUGACAAAUCAUCACAUGGCAACAAUGCAUCAGCAAAUUACAUUGAAUGGAUCACAAUCAUGUAGGGCAGCUCAUGUGAUAUUUGUAUUGAGAAGCAACCGAGAGAAAAACCAACUAGUUAUUGAUAUGGAUCCAUAGUCCAAAGAAAACUACUCACGAGCGAUCAUGGUGGCCUUCAAGUUGAUGUAGAUGGACAUUGAGAUGAUUUCCUUCUCCGACAGAGCACCGGAAAAGGCCUCUAGAUUGGAUCACUUCAAAACAGAGAGGUGCGGUUGUGGAAACAGAAAGACUCCUCAAUGUGUAGGGGUUUUGGAGCAAACAAAAAAUAUACGUUUUCAUAGCCACAAGGGGACCACGUGGUUGUACCACGCGGCCACCUUGGCUAUGUGGGGUCCUAGAUGGGACUCAAGUCCUCCGGAAGCUUCUCGUUGAAAAAUAUUUUCUAGAGUUUAUUUAAGGAUUUUUUGAGCUCUAUAAAAUUGAUGUUCCUGAAAGUCCAACAACAUGCAGAAAACAACAACUAACACUCCGCACUGAGUUAAUAGGUUAGUCUAGAAAAAUAAUAAAAGUUGAUGCCAAAUUAUGCCAAAAUGAUAUAAACCUAGCAUGAAACAAUAAAAAAAUAUACAUAUCUGAGACGUAUCAGCAUCACCGGGUUGAAUCCAUACUUGUCCUCUAGCAGAUAGAUCAUAACAACAUAAAUUUUGAUUGUAAAUGCUACGAACAUGAAUUAUAAUCAAUAUGAUGCAAUUUAGGUAUGACUGUAAAGAACAACGAUGCAAUGCAACAUUUUGUAGUUGAUAAAAAAGAUAACAUCAAAAAGUACAAGUAAAAUCACUCGCUUUUCAUGGAUCAAUGCUUUCAUAUCAAAUUCACCAAUGCCAUUUAUGUUUAGAUACAAUGUUAGGUGUAUCAUGAAACCAUAGUAUGCUAAGUCUUAAUUGUAUCAGAAACAAUUUUACCAUAAAGUGGCCAGAGUGUUGGUCAAGCACAUCAAUUACACAAUCUCGUGUUUCAAUUAAUCUAGAGUUAUGCAUUUUCUAGGGCGAGCCUUAAUCUUUACACUCAAACGGAAAAAGGAAUAAUCAUGGAGGUUAAUAAGUCGAAAAGAAAGAAAGUAUGGCAUCAACGCGACUGAUCUUUAGGUUAUGGAGAAGCCAUAUAAGCGAUGUUGAUGCACAGAGUAGCGAUUGUCAUGCAACAGAUCCACUAAAGCUAUGAAUAUAUAAAAGCUCUCCAAAUGAAUUAGUGGAGAUGUGCACCAAACUUCGCUUGUUUAUAAACACAUAAAGCGUUUGAGAAAGCUCAUCCAACAUCGCUGGUUCUACGGUGAAAAAUUACCAACUAACAUGUAAACAUGAAGAAUAUGAAAUGCAAGAAUGGUGCUAGUUUGAAUAAUAUGCAUGAAGCGUAUGCAUGGUAAUUUAAAGCACUAAGGGCAUCUCCAACGCAGACCCUCAAACUGCCCGCAAUCGUCCGAACUGCGUGGUCCAGGCGUGUUGUGUCAUCCAACGCGGGCCUGUAUCAUUCCACACAUCGGUUCAUACAUGCUUUCUCCNNNNNNNNNNNNNNNNNNNNNNNNNNNNNNNNNNNNNNNNNNNNNNNNNNNNNNNNNNNNNNNNNNNNNNNNNNNNNNNNNNNNNNNNNNNNNNNNNNNNNNNNNNNNNNNNNNNNNNNNNNNNNNNNNNNNNNNNNNNNNNNNNNNNNNNNNNNNNNNNNNNNNNNNNNNNNNNNNNNNNNNNNNNNNNNNNNNNNNNNNNNNNNNNNNNNNNNNNNNNNNNNNNNNNNNNNNNNNNNNNNNNNNNNNNNNNNNNNNNNNNNNGGGGGGGUUGCGGGAGUUCACACAGCAGCCACGUAGGACUCCGGCACCCGGAGCCCACGCCCCCUCCCGGUCCCAUUUCCUUCCACUCUACCCCUUCUCGCCCUUACUUUGCAUCCGCGCCCUCCAUCUCCGUCACCACCCUUGUACCUCUUCGGCCGUCACAGAGGCAUUGUCGGACGUCCACAACCAGCACUGACGCGCACGCCCGCUUUUACGACGGUGUUGCCCACCCUAGAGCCGUUUGUACCUAGGUACACUCCGCCCCCUGUCGACGACCUCCAUGACGGACACCACGCCCGAUAGGUGUUCGAUCAAAUGCCAUUUAGCUUAAUUUCGAAUGCCAUGUCAUUCUUUCGGAGUACGAAGGUUGGCGGGGUACUCGACCGUGGAGGAUGAGUUGUUGUGCGAUGCAUGGUUGGUUGUAUCCAUCAAUUUUGUAGGCAGGAGCGGAGGAGGACCUUCUGGCAGCAAGUGCAUGAAUCGUUUCGCGCGCGAAAACACAUUGCUCCCUACGACAUGCACAUCAUUUAAGAACACAAUGUGAGGUCGUUAUCAUAUCACUAGCACGGUAUCCAGACCAGCGUCACCAAGUUUUGUCGCGUGGUUGAUCAGCUGGAGGCAAGGUGGCCAUUGCACGCAGCAGAGGAGGAGUUCGUGAGUUUUGCUUCUUCUUGCUCGACUUGUUUAAAUCAUUCAUUCACUUAAUGCUGGUCUACAUGUUCAUUUACUCAAUGCUGGUCUACACAUUAUGUAGCCCGCUCACGUUGCCGUGAUGUACCACAGAACAGAGGGACGGCCAUUUAAGUACACAUUGUUAGAUAAAGUUGAAGGGGCAGUAUAUGUGGGACGACGUAAUCUGUUAAUGAAGCUUAUUGGACAUCCGGUUAAGAUAUUGUUGUACUAGACUUAUUUGGAUGAUUGAUUUGUGCUAUUUUCAAUCCAAACUGGAUAAAUGUCGGCCGAUUUGCAUGAAUUUCAUCCGGCUGAAGUGUGUAUGCAGGCAACAUUGGAUGAAAUUUCAUCCUAUCAAUUUGCAUGAAUUUCAUCCUGCUGAAGUGUGUGUGCUAUCUUGCACGAAUUUCAUCCGGCUGAAGUGUGUAUGCAGACAGCAUUGGGUGGAAUUUCCUCCGACUGAACAAUCAGUAUCCACAGACUACGCCGGAGUAUCCGCAGACUAUGCCGGUAUCCGCAGACCAUGCUAAAGCAAAUUUCAAAUUUACGGGUCAGUGGUGUUGGAUGAAAUUUCAUCCGGAGACUAUGCCAGAGCAAAUUUACGGGUCAGUAGCGUUGGAUGAAAAGAAAUUUCAUCCGGCUAAACGAUCAGUAUACGCAGACUAUGCGGAGCGUAUGCCCUAAUGUAUGAAAUGCAAAAAAGAAUAACGACCCUUUCAAGAAAAAAAAAACGUUGGAGUUGCUGCAAAAAGUAGUACUACUGUUGCCUCCUCUCUCUCCUCUCUGUGCCUCUUUCAUUCCUCACAAAGAUUGGAACAACACCGAACAAUAUACCUUAGGCUGUUAGGCAUGUGUGGUUUCUGUAUUCUCCUGAUCCAAUUUGUAUGCCCUAGAACAUCAUUGUGCAGUAAAGCUCUGCCACUCGCUCAAAAAAAAAAAAACAAGGGUGAAGCGGCCAGCAAGCCAUGGUGAUGUAUAUUGUUGCCUUGCCUUGGGAGAUGGUUUCAAUCCUGCACCUGAUGUGCUUGUUUGUUUUCGCCUCCCGCACGUACGUCUGUACUGCUGAUGUGUCGAAGUUUGAUGGUCGUUGCGAAGCCACCGCUAUUUUCUAGCGGUGGGAUAAUCGUCUUACACGUUUCGCAUUCAGCGAAGACAGAAUCUGAACUUCGUUUCAAAAAAGGAAGACGGAUUCUGAAGUAUUCUCGUACGAAGGAUGAACCAAAUGGUGAAUUAUCCUCGUCGAUAUCAAAUGAUCGGCAGCGUGUAGUAAAACAGCAGAAACAUCACACACACACAGGACACACUGAAGCAGCACAGAAGCAAAUGCAUGGACAGACGAAGCGGCCCGGGCCUUUUCUUAUUCACAACUCGGUACUAAACCGAUCGAUCGGACGAACACGAGCAGUACUAAAACAGUAGAAACAUCACACACACACACUGACACGCACGAACACACACACUCGCUCGUGUAGACACGUACGAAGGCACUAGCAUACAUAGAGCAGGUAGCAGACGACGCGCGCGCGCCCUGCUGCGCGGCGCGGCCGACUGGCAUCGGCCUGCUAGCUCCAGCUUACGACGACGCCCUGGUGCCGGUGCCGGCGCCCGCUCCGCCGGUGGCGCCGGUGUGGCCGCCUCCUCCGGCGCGCGC
Molecule: long non-coding RNA, 9289 nt
Filed under: Triticum aestivum (bread wheat)
Lineage: Eukaryota; Viridiplantae; Streptophyta; Magnoliopsida; Poales; Poaceae
Description: long non-coding RNA (TAES_LNC004024)
Source: RNAcentral